AGAGCUUCCCGCGACUCCUGCAUAACAACACGCGAGGAAAGCGAACGGAUCCAUUCGUUAACCAAUUUAGGCUUUCUCAUUGCUUAGCUCAACAACCGGUGGGUCGGAUGCAGUCUGUUUGGGCUUGGGGGGGGUCUGAUUCCUAUUUAAAGGACAAGCGCAUUCUCCUCUGUGACUCGGCCUCCCUUUUUCCCUCCUACUGCCCGCCCCCUCUCUCCCCGUGCCCGAACCUUUGCUUCCCUUGGAACUGAUAAAAUAAAAAACGCCUGCUGUCAGUCGCCCUGACACAACACCCCACACCCCACGCACCAUCUCCUCGUCCCGCUGCACCAGCAGGUCCAGGUAGUCAGAGCUCAUGUCGAACUGCGCGCUCGCGCUGUGCCGCGACAAGCUCUUGCCGCCGCCGUUUGCCGUUGACGCCAGCAGCGCCGAGUCACUGGUGCUGGACUUGAGCCCGUUGGCGGCGCCACUGGUGUGUGCGUUGGCCGCAGCCGCCUCCAUUCGCUCCUGAACCCCAGCGUAGCCGUGCCGGUAGUGCUUUCGGUGCGCACGCCUGUAAACGUUGUGAAGCUGACAUGUUGGUAUGGAGCGCUUUCCUGAGGGUGGAUACAAUAAAAGCAGCUGAGCCUUCCCAUCGUUCAAGCAGUCGCCACACUCACUUAACGCUUGCGCCGGGGCCUGUGACGCCGCUCAACGCCCACACCUGCGCAUCAGCACGAAGGCCCAAAACAAAUUGACGCUGGGCGCAGGCUUACUUCCACGGAAUCUCGGUUGCUCUGCCACUCCUUCGCAUCCAUCUACUCUCACCACCACUGCAUGCCCCCAGCCUCGCCCUAGCCGCUCUCCAGCCGCUCCUAGCGGCGCCCAGCCCAGCCCCAACCCCUGCUGGCCCACCUCUCUGUUGAGGUCGUGCAGCGACUUGAGAGCCUUCUUCAUCUCGCGCAGGCUCUCGAUGGAGGCGCUGCGGGGCAGCACCAGCACCGCCAGCAGCACACUGAACAGCCCGCCCGCGAAGAUGCCGCCCACACGCAGCAGCGCCAGCUGGAGGGCGCCUGGGAGGCGGCAUUGUCAGCACGAGGUUAGGACGGAGUCGGAAUGGUGCAGCGAAAACCUCGUGCGAAUACAUGGUGGAAUGAAAUUAGGGUUGGAGCAAGGACGACGAUAUGGGUCGGAAGGCGCAUGGGGUUGGGGCGUGCUUCGGGGAUGAGGAAGUUGGGCCAGGGCAGUAGGUCCGCCCGCCCCCCCUGGGGAUGGCAACAGGGGCAUCGAAGUCCGCAACCCACCUUUAUCCGGCUUGGCACCAAAAGCCACAAUGCAGUACGUCAACUGCAUGAAACGCGCUGCGAGCACGAAGGCGGGGUUUGGGGACACGUCGGCAAACUUGCCCUUGCCAUAGACCUAGCAGGUGGGAUUGUGGAACAAGCACUCCAAAGUCCCCGCACCCUCGCUGUCCCACUUCUUCACGCAGCACGCCCGACGAUGUGAGCCCCAGUUCCCAGAGUUAUGCGGCAACGUACCCAGCUGGUCCAGCGAACGCUUGAAGGCCCUGCAAGGCGUGCAUCAGACGGGCAAGGGUUGCGGGCCAGUAACCAUCAGCUUUUGAACUGCCACCAGCUUUGGAGCUGCCACCAAGGCUGCCACUGGCUAAACCACAGCAGUGUUCAACACCAUUGUUCGCGCGAUAUCACACGCGCCAGCUGCACUUGUCACGAGCAUAGCAGCGAACAGUAUGUGGUAGGCCGCAGCAUUAAGGAGUGUUGUGGCUAGAGGAUUUCCUGCUGGUGGGUUGAUUGCGGCUGUGCUUGUGCUUGACCGCGAGACGUGGC
Molecule: long non-coding RNA, 1826 nt
Filed under: Chlamydomonas reinhardtii
Lineage: Eukaryota; Viridiplantae; Chlorophyta; Chlorophyceae; Chlamydomonadales; Chlamydomonadaceae
Description: long non-coding RNA (CREI_LNC000254)
Source: RNAcentral